This 778-nucleotide ribosomal RNA is filed under the name Microbacterium sp. Its description in RNAcentral is "bacterial SSU rRNA". It matches the Rfam family "Bacterial small subunit ribosomal RNA", at positions 71 to 857 of the family's 1533-position model. Lineage: Bacteria; Bacillati; Actinomycetota; Actinomycetes; Micrococcales; Microbacteriaceae. The record is from RNAcentral.
AGCCGGAGCUUGCUCUGGUGGAUUAGUGGCGAACGGGUGAGUAACACGUGAGUAACCUGCCCCUGACUCUGGGAUAAGCGCUGGAAACGGCGUCUAAUACCGGAUAUGCGCUGUAACCGCAUGGUUUGCAGCGGGAAAGAUUUAUCGGUUGGGGAUGGACUCGCGGCCUAUCAGCUUGUUGGUGAGGUAAUGGCUCACCAAGGCGUCGACGGGUAGCCGGCCUGAGAGGGUGACCGGCCACACUGGGACUGAGACACGGCCCAGACUCCUACGGGAGGCAGCAGUGGGGAAUAUUGCACAAUGGGCGCAAGCCUGAUGCAGCAACGCCGCGUGAGGGAUGACGGCCUUCGGGUUGUAAACCUCUUUUAGCAGGGAAGAAGCCUUCGGGUGACGGUACCUGCAGAAAAAGCGCCGGCUAACUACGUGCCAGCAGCCGCGGUAAUACGUAGGGCGCAAGCGUUAUCCGGAAUUAUUGGGCGUAAAGAGCUCGUAGGCGGUUUGUCACGUCUGCUGUGAAAACUGGAGGCUCAACCUCCAGCCUGCAGUGGGUACGGGCAGACUAGAGUGCGGUAGGGGAGAUUGGAAUUCCUGGUGUAGCGGUGGAAUGCGCAGAUAUCAGGAGGAACACCGAUGGCGAAGGCAGAUCUCUGGGCCGUUACUGACGCUGAGGAGCGAAAGGGUGGGGAGCAAACAGGCUUAGAUACCCUGGUAGUCCACCCCGUAAACGUUGGGAACUAGUUGUGGGGGCUUUUCUACGGUCUCCGUGACGCAGCUAACG